CCUACGGGAGGCAGCAGUGAGGAAUAUUGGUCAAUGGCCGAGAGGCUGAACCAGCCAAGUCGCGUGAGGGAAGACGGCCCUACGGGUUGUAAACCUCUUUUGUCGGGGAGCAAAGCGAGUCACGUGUGACUCAUUGAGAGUACCCGAAGAAAAAGCAUCGGCUAACUCCGUGCCAGCAGCCGCGGUAAUACGGAGGAUGCGAGCGUUAUCCGGAUUUAUUGGGUUUAAAGGGUGCGCAGGCGGAGGUGGAAGUCAGAGGUCAAAUUGCGGGGCUCAACCCCGAAUUGCCGUUGAUACUGCAUGCCUUGAGUGCGCGAGAGGUAGGCGGAAUGUGUGGUGUAGCGGUGAAAUGCUUAGAGAUCACGCAGAACUCCGAUUGCGAAGGCAGCAUACCGGCGCGCAACUGACGCUCAGGCACGAAAGCGUGGGUAUCGAACAGGAUUAGAUACCCCAGUAGUC
Molecule: ribosomal RNA, 459 nt
Filed under: uncultured bacterium
Lineage: Bacteria
Description: partial 16S ribosomal RNA
Rfam family: Bacterial small subunit ribosomal RNA
Source: RNAcentral